GAUGAACGCUGGCGGCGUGCCUAAUACAUGCAAGUCGAGCGAACAGAUGAGGAGCUUGCUCCUCUGACGUUAGCGGCGGACGGGUGAGUAACACGUGGAUAACCUACCUAUAAGACUGGGAUAACUUCGGGAAGCCGGGGCUAAUACCGGAUAAUAUAUUGAACCGCAUGGUUCAAUAGUGAAAGACGGUUUUGCUGUCACUUAUAGAUGGAUCCGCGCCGCAUUAGCUAGUUGGUAAGGUAACGGCUUACCAAGGCAACGAUGCGUAGCCGACCUGAGAGGUUGAGCGGCACCCGAGGAUCUGAAACCGGUCCCAGCCUCCAGGGGAGGCAAAGAUGAGGAAUUCUCCACAAUGGGCAGAAGCCUGGCGGGAGCACCCCGGGGGAGGGGUAGAGGUUCUGGGGUUGGAAAACCGUUUUUAUUGGGAAAGAAAAAGUUUUAAGAAACCAGGACCCGUUUGGCGGGUCCCAAAAAAGAAAGCCCCGGCUAACUCCGG
This 496-nucleotide ribosomal RNA is filed under the name uncultured bacterium. Its description in RNAcentral is "partial 16S ribosomal RNA". It matches the Rfam family "Bacterial small subunit ribosomal RNA", at positions 28 to 506 of the family's 1533-position model. The record is from RNAcentral.